This 402-nucleotide ribosomal RNA is filed under the name Bacteroidota bacterium. Its description in RNAcentral is "Bacteroidetes bacterium partial 16S ribosomal RNA". It matches the Rfam family "Bacterial small subunit ribosomal RNA", at positions 355 to 776 of the family's 1533-position model. Lineage: Bacteria; Pseudomonadati; Bacteroidota. The record is from RNAcentral.
UGGGGAAUUUUGCACAAUGGGGGAAACCCUGAUGCAGCGACGCAGCGUGAUUUAGAAGGCCUUCGGGUUGUAAAAAUCUUUUCUAUGGGAAGAAAAUGACAGUACCAUAGGAAUAAGGACCGGCUAAUUACGUGCCAGCAGCCGCGGUAAUACGUAAGGUCCGAGCGUUGUCCGGAAUCAUUGGGCGUAAAGGGUACGUAGGCGGGUAAGCAAGUUAGAAGUGAAAUCCUGUAGCUCAACUACAGUAAGCUUUUAAAACUGCUCAUCUUGAGAUAUGGAAGGGAAAGUGGAAUUCCUAGUGUAGCGGUGAAAUGCGCAGAUAUUAGGAGGAAUACCGGUGGCGAAGGCGACUUUCUGGCAAUAAUCUGACGCUGAGGUACGAAAGCGUGGGUAGCAAACAGG